Long non-coding RNA from Ornithodoros turicata, 1035 nucleotides. RefSeq lists it as uncharacterized. The transcript is spliced from 2 exons. NCBI's taxonomy places the organism in Eukaryota, Metazoa, Arthropoda, Arachnida, Ixodida, Argasidae. The record is from RefSeq and is a predicted model, not a curated record.
UCCACCUUUGAGAUUUCAUCUUGUCCACACUUGCCAUGUUUUGUUUGAUCUAUUACUCUGAUCUAUUUUAGCACAGGUAUGCUCUUUUUAUUGCUGUAUAUCCAGGUGCGCGCGUCCGCGAUCAAAUAUAUGCUGUAUCCCUGUAACUCCAAUUCGUGCACAUUCUCAUCUGAGGUGAAUAUAAUAACAUACUAAGUACCAGUGAAAUGUAAAAAAAUACUACUCAACAACAACAAAAAUUAAGCUAAAUACUAGAAGAAAGACAACAACAAAAAAAGAAAAGGUAAUUGCAGAGGCUGAUGCAAUGUGAAGUGAAGACGCCACGGCAAUUCAAACUUCAAACGGCGAGAGCCGAGAGAGGAGAGGGCGAGAGUGGCAGUUGGAAGUUGGAACUUGUACCAAGGGCCCGAAACUCGCCAGUUCCUUUGCGGGAUAAAGUGAGGCGCUUCAUGCGUUUCACGUCAUCGGACGUCAGAAAACGUCAUAAAUUGAACGUCAUGGAGACAUCCGGUGGCUAGUGAUUACUGAUUGGUUCCCAUGAGGAUGAAUUCGUUUUCUGAGCGAUGAUUGGCCGUUUUCAAAUUUGUUCGCGGGCGCUCGAACAGGCGACAGCGCGGCGGCUGUGCCGGUUGGAACCGGCGUCCACGGAGUCGACGGCGUCCGUUUCGGACGGCUCGUGUUGUGUAGCGGUUGUGUUGGACUAUGAGUUCUGAUUUUUCCUGUUUAAAAACGCAAGCUGUAUCAUGUGAGUGUCCUCGAACAGUAACAGCUGCCAGGGAAGAUGCCUGCGCAACAUUUGUGCUCUGCUUCUUGGUGUAGAAAGUAUUCGAGCGCCCGAACGCCUCGUACCCGAUACCUGGUCAACGACUGCCGAGAGCCACUGAACUCCAGUUCCCAGUAGCAGUCCUUGCCAGAGGCAGUCCGACAUUAUCAAGCUUCUUCAAGCAAAUUCCGGAGCAAUAUUCAUGUCAUCCUGUGUACGUCUUGCUUGCAUAACCGUAUGUUGCACAAUAAAAUGCUUCAUGUGACAAACAA